UCAGGCCUAACACAUGCAAGUCGAACGGAUCACUUCGGUGGUUAGUGGCGAACGGGUGAGUAAUGCCUAGGAAUCUGCCUAUUAGCGGGGGAUAACGUUCCGAAAGGAACGCUAAUACCGCAUACGCCCUACGGGGGAAAGCAGGGGAUCUUCGGACCUUGCACUAAUAGAUGAGCCUAGGUCAGAUUAGCUAGUUGGUGGGGUAAAGGCUCACCAAGGCGACGAUCUGUAGCGGGUCUGAGAGGAUGAUCCGCCACACUGGAACUGAGACACGGUCCAGACUCCUACGGGAGGCAGCAGUGGGGAAUAUUGGACAAUGGGCGCAAGCCUGAUCCAUCAAGGGCCGCGUGUGUGAAGAAGGCCUUUUGGUUGUAACUUUAAGAGGCGAGGAGGAGGGCACUUAGGUUAAUACCCUGAUGUGUGGAC
RNAcentral lists this ribosomal RNA (426 nucleotides) under uncultured bacterium. RNAcentral describes it as "bacterial SSU rRNA". It matches the Rfam family "Bacterial small subunit ribosomal RNA", at positions 43 to 473 of the family's 1533-position model. The record is from RNAcentral.